CUUAAAUUUAAAGCUCUUAACACCAGGUCAGUCGAAUUACACUAUUUCUGAGUGGAAUAUUUUUAUAAAAAUAUAAUCCAAUGAAACUAAUUUCAUGAUGGGAACUAACCUAGUGUUGAGACAAUAGAAGUUUAGUAUUUGAGGGUGUUAACGCCAAAGAGGUGUAACUCAUAUUUGUGAAAUGAUGGAAGUUUUGCUUUAUAACUUUGAUAAAUAGACAUUUUUUCAUCAGGAAAAGUGGUGUAAGUAUUUACAGUAAAAACUUACACACCACUUUUUCUCUGAAGAGGUCUAUGUAUAUAAUAUCAAGAUUAUAAAAUAGGGCUUACAUCAUUUCAAGAAUAUGACUUACACCACUUUGAUUUUAACCCAUUCAUUUCUUAAUCAGUAAUGAACUAAUGAAUUGUUUUCAGAAAGACAUACUUGCACAGAUGUAGGGGCACAAAUGUUGAGUUUGAUUGGCAUGGCAAUCAAAUCCAACCUUUACCCAACAGUUGUGACAGUGCAUCUGGUUUCUUCACAUCUGUUGCACAAGAUAGUCAAGUGGAAGUAGAUUACCUACAAUUGGAAGACACAUAGCAGACGUCCAAUGUACCCUCUACUUCCACUGUGCUGCUCAGUACACCCACGACAACUGCUGUCCUGCCCAAGAAGACAGCCAAGAUGUCUCAGGCUCGUUCAAAAAAUAAAAAAUUAAAAGAUGUAGGGAGCGAAACCCUUAAUGUAUCUUUUACAAAAAAAAAUUGAAACAGCAAGACUAGAGAAAAGAAGUAAGAUAGUAUUUUUCAACAAGAAAAAAAGAAAUUUUAGAAGUAGAGCUUCAAAUAAAAAAAUUCGAACUCAAUAAAUUAUUAGGUAAUAGUGGUUAGGUAUGUACCUAAUAAAGUAAUUUUAAAUAAAAAUUGUAAUUUCUUUAAAUAAUAAAAUUAAUAAAAAAUGUA
Molecule: long non-coding RNA, 941 nt
Organism: Diabrotica virgifera virgifera (western corn rootworm)
Lineage: Eukaryota; Metazoa; Arthropoda; Insecta; Coleoptera; Chrysomelidae
Exons: 2
Source: RefSeq, a predicted model, not a curated record